This is a small nucleolar RNA of Tachyglossus aculeatus (Australian echidna), 138 nucleotides long. Lineage: Eukaryota; Metazoa; Chordata; Mammalia; Monotremata; Tachyglossidae. The record is from RefSeq and is a predicted model, not a curated record.
UCCCUCUCAGGGUCGCAGCUGGAGAGAUUCCAGUACUCUCCCAGUCAUGACUACAGGAGGGAGAGUGAAGCAGAAGCAUAUCCAUUCCAUUCCUAGCUUGGGCAGUGGCUAGCGAGUGAAAGGCAAUCUGCUACAAGU